ACUCCUACGGGAGGCAGCAGUGGGGAAUAUUGCACAAUGGGCGCAAGCCUGAUGCAGCCAUGCCGCGUGUGUGAAGAAGGCCUUCGGGUUGUAAAGCACUUUCAGUCGUGAGGAAGGUAGUGUAGUUAAUAGCUGCAUUAUUUGUACGUUAGCGACAGAAGAAGCACCGGCUAACUCCGUGCCAGUAGCCGCGGUAAGUACGGAGGGUGCGAGCGUUAAUCGGAAUUACGUGGGCGUAAAGCGCAUGCAGGUGGUUUGUUAAGUCAGAUGUGAAAGCCCGGGGCUCAACCUCGGAAUAGCAUUUGAAACUGGCAGACUAGAGUACUGGUAGAGGGGGUUAGGAAUUUCAGGUGUAGCGGUGAAAUGCGUAGAGAUCUGAAGGAAUACCGGUGGCGAAGGCGGCCCCUGGACAGAUACUGACACUCAGAUGCGAAAGCGUGGGAGCAAACAGGAUUAGAUACCCCUGGUAGACUGUCA
RNAcentral lists this ribosomal RNA (477 nucleotides) under uncultured bacterium. RNAcentral describes it as "bacterial SSU rRNA". It matches the Rfam family "Bacterial small subunit ribosomal RNA", at positions 335 to 802 of the family's 1533-position model. The record is from RNAcentral.